RNAcentral lists this ribosomal RNA (253 nucleotides) under uncultured bacterium. RNAcentral's name for it is "partial 16S ribosomal RNA". It matches the Rfam family "Bacterial small subunit ribosomal RNA", at positions 524 to 776 of the family's 1533-position model. The record is from RNAcentral.
GACGAGCCUCACAAACGUUAUUCGGAAUUACUGGGCUUAAAGGGUGCGUAGGCGGCGCGGAAAGUUGGGUGUGAAAUCCCUCGGCUCAACCGAGGAACUGCGCCCAAAACUGCCGUGCUCGAGGAAGAUAGAGGUGAGCGGGACUUACGGUGGAGCGGUGAAAUGCGUUGAUAUCGUAAGGAACACCCGUGGCGAAAGCGGCUCACUGGGUCUUUUCUGACGCUGAUGCACGUAAGCUGGGGGAGCAAACUGG